This 254-nucleotide ribosomal RNA is filed under the name uncultured bacterium. RNAcentral's name for it is "partial 16S ribosomal RNA". It matches the Rfam family "Archaeal small subunit ribosomal RNA", at positions 474 to 727 of the family's 1478-position model. The record is from RNAcentral.
UAGCAGCAUCCCAAGUGGUGGCCAGUAUUAUUGGGCUUAAAGCGUUCGUAGCCGGACUUGUAAGUCCGCUGUGAAAUCCACGCGCUUAACGUGUGGGCGUGCAGCGGAUACUGCAGGUCUAGGGACCGGAUGGCGUCAGGGCUAUUCUCAGGGUAGGAGUGAAAUCCUAAAAUCCUGAGAGGAGCACCUGUGGCGAAAGCGCCUGACGAAUACGGAUCCGACGGUGAGGAACGAAAGCCGGGGGAGCAAAGCGG